GACGGAGGGUGCGAGCGUUGUUCGGAAUUACUGGGCGUAAAGAGUACGUAGGCGGUUUGUUAAGUCGAAUGUAAAAUCUCGAGGCUCAACCUCGAAACCGCAUUCGAAACUGGCAGACUAGAGGAUGAUAGAGGAAAGCGGAAUUCCCAGUGUAGCGGUGAAAUGCGUAGAUAUUGGGAGGAACAUCAGUGGCGAAAGCGGCUUUCUGGGUCAUUCCUGACGCUGAGGUACGAAAGCGUGGGGAGCAAACGGG
This 253-nucleotide ribosomal RNA is filed under the name uncultured bacterium. RNAcentral describes it as "partial 16S ribosomal RNA". It matches the Rfam family "Bacterial small subunit ribosomal RNA", at positions 524 to 776 of the family's 1533-position model. The record is from RNAcentral.